This 473-nucleotide ribosomal RNA is filed under the name uncultured bacterium. RNAcentral's name for it is "bacterial SSU rRNA". It matches the Rfam family "Bacterial small subunit ribosomal RNA", at positions 28 to 511 of the family's 1533-position model. The record is from RNAcentral.
GAUGAACGCUAGCGGCAGGCCUAACACAUGCAAGUCGAGGGGCAGCGGGGAUGAAGCUUGCUUCAUCUGCCGGCGACCGGCGCACGGGUGAGUAACACGUAUGCAACCUGCCCGCCACAGGGGGAUAAACGCUGGAAACGGCGCCUAAUACCCCAUACUAUCGCUAAGCUGCAUGGCAUGGCGAUGAAAACUCCGGUGGUGGCGGAUGGGCAUGCGGCGCAUUAGCUAGAUGGUGAGGUAACGGCUCACCAAGGCGACGAUCGGUAGCCGGACUGAGAGGUUGACCGGCCACAUUGGGACUGAGAUACGGCCCAGACUCCUACGGGAGGCAGCAGUGGGGAAUAUUGCACAAUGGGCGAAAGCCUGAUGCAGCGACGCCGCGUGAGCGAAGAAGUAUUUCGGUAUGUAAAGCUCUAUCAGCAGGGAGAAAAUGACGGUACCUGACUAAGAAGCACCGGCUAAAUACGUGACCG